AGUUGCCGUAAAUUGUGCCAGUCGCGACCGCUCGCGACACACCGCAAAGGAGACACAAACGCUAAACUAUGGAUUUUGGCGGAGAUAAUGGAAAGUACAGCAAAGAAGAGGAGAUGCAGCUUCAACAAAGACUGGGAAACUACAUAUCACUGGGUGAAGCCGGUGCAAGGUGAUUCUCAGAGAGUUUUCUGUGGUUUGCCAGAGUUCGUUUUCCGUUUCACACGGUGGGGAGAACGACGUGAAGCGACACAGUACAUGCGAGACCCCCCUCUCAGCUUUGGAGGAUUGUUUGUACAGCGGUCUGAUCUCGGUUACGGAGCGCUGCGCAACGUCCAGCCGUCAGUCUGCAGCGCAGAUCCCGCAACAAAAACGCCGAGAGACUAUCUGGUUGCAAAGAAAUCCGGGGGCGGUGUGUUUACCUCUCCGCUGCUCCUGCUGCCGAGCUCGGUAGGAAAUCAGCUGCUUCGCGCUGGAGGGACGCCAUUAGUCUGAGAGGAGGCUUCCCUUCCCUUCUGCUGUCCUACGCUGCCCCUCAAUGGAGAGAUCCACACCGACCGGCUUUACACGGGGGAGAGCGCCCCCGUGCGGGCAGCACAGUGAAGACACCCUUUCUACAAGGAUCAGGUGGAAGCUGAAUUAGUGAGGAUGACUCCUGCUCCUGUCAUCUCUAAGCUCCUCACACAUCUUUACCUGCACAUGAAGAAAAUCACUCCUGUAGAAUGCAGAUGUUCAGAGGGAGAUGAUGCCACAUCUGGUCCAGCCAAUGGAAGGUCUUGAAGUUCUCUGACUGGCCUCGACUGAAGAUGGUCGUCUCACUGGAUUUAAGGUUCAGAUGCUCAGUAACAAACUCCACCAAUGAGCCAACAGGGAAGCUUUAGGUUUAUUAAAUGUUGCUAUGAAGGUAUCGCUGUUUUUCUUUGUGAAUGAAAUGUGCUCCAACUGAAACUUGAAUUAGAACUUAGAAGUAAAUCCUUCCAUCUGAAAGGAUUUAGUUGCAUUAAUAACCUCAUAACAUUCUAAUUUUUAUUCCAGUCUUAGUUGAAAAUAGAAUCUCUGUAUUGAUUCAGGUAAAAACUGAACUUUACAGCAUGUUGGAGCAAAACAACCAGAUGAAAACUGUGAUGGUGUUGGAUUGUCAGACCGUAAUGUUGCAGCUCAAAGCAGCUUUUCUAUCUCAGUUCAUUCUGACAUUCAGCUAUGAAUCAACACAGCAGAUGGUGAUCCAUGCUGUGGAAGUCUCACAUCUCCUGAUUUAAUGGAGCUGCUUUGCACUUUUUACACUGUUUAUUCACCAACACUUUAUUUAAUAAAAGUCCCAUCUAGUUUUUAUGAGGAAUGUGAUGUUUUAAUUUCUCUGUGAAUAACUGCAGUCUAAUGCAACAGCUGGAGUUGUAACAUCUGUCCUGAUAUUGAUCAUGAAGUAUUGAUCAGAAUACUUACGGUUAGCAGUCAUCCCUGAAGUUUUACAUUAAAAUCUUUACUUGUGUUGUGAACUUUGGUAAGAAGCAGAAACUUUUGCGUUGCCAUGGAUACAUGAGUGUUAAAUUCUGUCCAUGUUUCCAUUUUGGGAAAUGCAGUCCAGUUCCAGAAUGUGGAGGAAUUUAUUCUCAAUCACAGACAACAAAUAUUAUCUGAAAGUUGGGUUAUUCUUGUUUAUCAGCACAAUACAAAAAGAUUAAUGUUAGAAAUAUUCCAGUUAAGACUCUAGAAUAUCAUGAUUUAUGUAAAUUUACCUCAGUAAUAUAAAUGUUCAGGUUAAGAUUGUACAGUGAUAUUAUGUAAGUUUAGCUGAUUAAAGUUUAUGACUCUGCACUAAAAUAUUAUUUAAAUUGACAUCAUUAUUAUAAUAUUUAGGGUCAGACCCUACAGUAUUGAGAUUAAGAAAUUAAAUAUUCUAUAAAACGUAAAUACACUGAACUAAUUUGGAUAUAUUUAAGUGAAACUACAAUAUUAUUUGACACAAAUCUAUCUAAAUCAAAAUCUUAAUUUUCACGCCAAACAUUUACUGGACUGAUUUAAAUAUUAAAAUCACUCCUUUCUAAUCCUCUGCUGUACGUUCAAACCUGAGGCCUUAAAUAGAAACACACAAGUAUCUGUUUGAAGGAACUUCUGCAGAGUCCUGGUUCCAGAACAUGAUGAUAGAGUUCUAGACAAACUUUAACAAAAGCUGCCUGAGAGUUUACAGGUUUUUAUGUGAGAUUUCUUCAGUAAUUUAAUGAGAGUUAUCAGCAAAAAGCAAGUGUUCAUUUGAUGAACUUCAUUUCCUAAAACAUCCAGAAUUGGAGCUCAUAUCUUUGGCAGCUGUAAAGUUUCUGCUCCUUCAUACUUCACAACAAUGAAUUAAUUCCUGAAACACUCUCAGUGCUGGAGAGCGUUUGAUGCUGAAACAGUGACCAGUUUUUCUGUUUCUUCUCUGGAGAUGCACCAUGAGGGACGUCUGCAGAGACUGAGAAAGAGUCUCACCACAUCCUGACAUGAGGAAAAGACUUUAUUGAAAGCUACAAUGAGAAAAACUAUCAGACAGCAGACGACAUGCAUUCAAGGUGAGCUCUGAACAUUUGAUCUAGAACAGGAAUUCAAUAAUGGCAGCAUGAGCUUCAUUUCAGCCUGUAGCUGCUGAAUUCAUGGAUGAAUCAUCUGGUGCUAGAGAGGAAGACCAUCAAACAUCCAUGUCAGCUGAUGGAGGUCCAAGAGUCUCACUGAACAAACAACCUACAGAGUGAAGACCUCAAAUCUGAUUGGACGGCCUCCUAUUGAGCCACAUGUGUGAACAAAUGCCUCUAAGCUGAUUUGUUUUCUAAAAUAAAUCUAGUUUGAGUCCUAA
Amphiprion ocellaris (clown anemonefish) is the source of this 2824-nucleotide long non-coding RNA. RefSeq lists it as uncharacterized. NCBI's taxonomy places the organism in Eukaryota, Metazoa, Chordata, Actinopteri, Pomacentridae. The record is from RefSeq and is a predicted model, not a curated record. The transcript is spliced from 4 exons.